CUCUAACACAACACACUUUCCACCUCCCCGAUAAACACACACACCCACAGCCCACAACCAACACCAUGUAACAUCACCAAAAAACCACAAACAACAGCAACCAGACAAUAAUACAAGAAAAACCAUAGACACACGUCACGAUCUACACAACUUUCCGCAACCACUCAAGAUCGCCACCCCGAACAUAGCUAGUUGAUCAGGUAACGGUUACAAAGCAACAGCAGCAUACCCAAGUUGAGAGACACUCGGCCACAUUGGGAUUCAGACACGGCCCACAAUCUUCUGGUGGCAGCAGUAGGGAAUCUUCCACAAUGGACGCAAGUAAGAAGGACUAACGCCGCGUGAGCGACGAAGGGUUUCAGGCUCGUAAAGCUCUGUUGGUAGUGAAGAAAGAUAGAGGUAGUAACUGGCCUUUAUUUGACGGUAAUUACUUAGAAAGUCACGGCUAACUACGUGCCAGCAGCCGCGGUAAUACGUAGGUGGCAAGCGUUGUCCGGAUUUAUUGGGCGUAAAGCGAGUGCAGGCGGUUCAAUAAGUCUGAUGUGAAAGCCUUCGGCUCAACCGGAGAAUUGCAUCAGAAACUGUUGAACUUGAGUGCAGAAGAGGAGAGUGGAACUCCAUGUGUAGCGGUGGAAUGCGUAGAUAUAUGGAAGAACACCAGUGGCGAAGGCGGCUCUCUGGUCUGCAACUGACGCUGAGGCUCGAAAGCAUGGGUAGCGAACAGG
Molecule: ribosomal RNA, 725 nt
Filed under: uncultured Fusobacterium sp.
Lineage: Bacteria; Fusobacteriati; Fusobacteriota; Fusobacteriia; Fusobacteriales; Fusobacteriaceae
Description: bacterial SSU rRNA
Rfam family: Bacterial small subunit ribosomal RNA
Source: RNAcentral